UUCCGGACUCCGUGCAAUGAGCGGCUGCAAACCCCGCCAGGUCCGGAAGGAAGCAACGGUAGCAGUUUAACUUGUGUGCCGCGGAUCACCCGGGGCCU
RNAcentral lists this signal recognition particle RNA (98 nucleotides) under Acidobacteriota bacterium. Its description in RNAcentral is "signal recognition particle sRNA small type". It matches the Rfam family "Bacterial small signal recognition particle RNA". Rfam says of the family: The signal recognition particle (SRP) is a universally conserved ribonucleoprotein involved in the co-translational targeting of proteins to membranes. Archaeal SRP consists of a 7S RNA and homologues of the eukaryotic SRP19 and SRP54 proteins. In most bacteria, the SRP consists of a 4.5S RNA and the Ffh protein (a homologue of the eukaryotic SRP54 protein). Lineage: Bacteria; Pseudomonadati; Acidobacteriota. The record is from RNAcentral.